CCUACGGGAGGCAGCAGUAGGGAAUCUUCCACAAUGGGCGCAAGCCUGAUGCAGCAACGCCGCGUGGGUGAAGAAGGUCUUCGGAUCGUAAAACCCUGUUGUUAGAGAAGAAAGUGCGUGAGAGUAACUGUUCACGUUUCGACGGUAUCUAACCAGAAAGCCACGGCUAACUACGUGCCAGCAGCCGCGGUAAUACGUAGGUGGCAAGCGUUAUCCGGAUUUAUUGGGCGUAAAGGGAAUGCAGGCGGUCUUUUAAGUCUGAUGUGAAAGCCUUCGGCUUAACCGGAGUAGUGCAUUGGAAACUGGGAGACUUGAGUGCAGAAGAGGAGAGUGGAACUCCAUGUGUAGCGGUGAAAUGCGUAGAUAUAAGGAAGAACACCAGUGGCGAAAGCGGCUCUCUGGUCUGUAACUGACGCUGAGGUUCGAAAGCGUGGGUAGCAAACAGGAUUAGAUACCCGAGUAGUC
Molecule: ribosomal RNA, 465 nt
Filed under: uncultured bacterium
Lineage: Bacteria
Description: partial 16S ribosomal RNA
Rfam family: Bacterial small subunit ribosomal RNA
Source: RNAcentral